UGGCUUGUUUUGAUUGGCCAUGGUUGGGUUUUUUCUUUUAGCGCGUAAGUGACAAGGUGAUCGGUUGAUAAAAUGUUCCACAUAUUUUUAAAACAUCACAUUUCAUAUUAUUUCAUUUUUCUUUUUCUGAUGUGUGGAUUGGACCGGGACAUGUACCACUUGUUUUCCCCACCCCCCUUUCUGGCCCAUUUUCGUGGCUAGCCAUUUCCUUUUAUCCCUUUUACUAACAUGAACCCCCAUUCCAUUUUCUUUUAUUAUUUGAUAAUUGUUUCUAUUGUUUUUAUUUAAAAUACCUCCUUUUAUCCAAAAAUUCCCAAUUAACUCAUGAUUAAUAUUUGGCUUGUUAUUUAAUUUUCCUUAUUUUUAUUUUUUAUUUUUUUAUUUAUUUUAAUAAUUGUUUUGAUUUUUGUAUUUAAUUAUCUCUAAUUAACCUAGUUUUAUUUGUUAGGGUUUGAUUUUUA
This 461-nucleotide long non-coding RNA is filed under the name Lathyrus oleraceus (garden pea). RNAcentral describes it as "Pisum sativum (pea) long non-coding RNA (PSAT_LNC035801)". The record is from RNAcentral. Lineage: Eukaryota; Viridiplantae; Streptophyta; Magnoliopsida; Fabales; Fabaceae.